This 624-nucleotide ribosomal RNA is filed under the name Lactobacillus gasseri. RNAcentral describes it as "bacterial SSU rRNA". It matches the Rfam family "Bacterial small subunit ribosomal RNA", at positions 371 to 987 of the family's 1533-position model. Lineage: Bacteria; Bacillati; Bacillota; Bacilli; Lactobacillales; Lactobacillaceae. The record is from RNAcentral.
AUGGACGCAAGUCUGAUGGAGCAACGCCGCGUGAGUGAAGAAGGUUUCGGCUCGUAAAGCUCUGUUGGUAGUGAAGAAAGAUAGAGGUAGUAACUGGCCUUUAUUUGACGGUAAUUACUUAGAAAGUCACGGCUAACUACGUGCCAGCAGCCGCGAUAAUACGUAGGUGGCAAGCGUUGUCCGGAUUUAUUGGGCGUAAAGCGAGUGCAGGCGGUUCAAUAAGUCUGAUGUGAAAGCCUUCGGCUCAACCGGAGAAUUGCAUCAGAAACUGUUGAACUUGAGUGCAGAAGAGGAGAGUGGAACUCCAUGUGUAGCGGUGGAAUGCGUAGAUAUAUGGAAGAACACCAGUGGCGAAGGCGGCUCUCUGGUCUGCAACUGACGCUGAGGCUCGAAAGCAUGGGUAGCGAACAGGAUUAGAUACCCUGGUAGUCCAUGCCGUAAACGAUGAGUGCUAAGUGUUGGGAGGUUUCCGCCUCUCAGUGCUGCAGCUAACGCAUUAAGCACUCCGCCUGGGGAGUACGACCGCAAGGUUGAAACUCAAAGGAAUUGACCGGGGCCCGCACAAGCGGUGGAGCAUGUGGUUUAAUUCGAAGCAACGCGAAGAACCUUACCAGGUCUUGACAU